GUCCCAAGAAGAAGUCUAUGGAGUUUGGAAUUAUGUGAAGCAAAUUAUUGGAAUUGAUAGUUAGUUUUAGAGAAUUCCAAUAAUUGGAUAGGAAAUGUUUUAUAUAAUCUUUUAAGAUAGUACAGUAUUAUCUAUUGUUGUCAUAAGUUAAGAAAAGAGAAGAGAUAGUCAAUGCAUAGUAUAGAAUUAUAGAUUGUAAUAUUUUAUUUGAUAGAAUGUGAGAGGCAUU
Molecule: long non-coding RNA, 229 nt
Filed under: Physcomitrium patens
Lineage: Eukaryota; Viridiplantae; Streptophyta; Bryopsida; Funariales; Funariaceae
Description: long non-coding RNA (PPAT_LNC006105)
Source: RNAcentral